This is a long non-coding RNA of Rhinolophus ferrumequinum (greater horseshoe bat), 268 nucleotides long. RefSeq lists it as uncharacterized. The transcript is spliced from 3 exons. The record is from RefSeq and is a predicted model, not a curated record. Lineage: Eukaryota; Metazoa; Chordata; Mammalia; Chiroptera; Rhinolophidae.
CCCCUCGUAACCCCAGAACCGGGAUCCAUUUCCUGGGCUCGGCAGCGUGGCGCCCAGGACUGGCCCGGGUCUCCGAGCAUCUGCUCCCGGGAUUCUAGUCGCCUCUUCUCUUUCGUCGGGAGCCUCCUCAUCUCCAGAAUGAUCUCUUACUUGGAAUGAGGAGCAUAACCACCUCUCAGAGGAAAAAAUGGUUAUUGGAGAAAACUUUGGCUCUCAGGCUGGACCAUGACGUCACAUGGUGGAGGCUGUUUUUGUGAAGAAAAAAAAA